RNAcentral lists this unclassified non-coding RNA (251 nucleotides) under Hevea brasiliensis (rubber tree). Lineage: Eukaryota; Viridiplantae; Streptophyta; Magnoliopsida; Malpighiales; Euphorbiaceae. The record is from RNAcentral.
GCAAGCUUCCACAGCUUUCUUCACCCCUGGUCGACAUGGGUCCUUGAUACCCACAAGUCCUAGUAGCGUCAAGCUGUUUUCUUUGAGUUUUUUCCCUUCCAUCCCUUCUCCAUGCUGUUGUUCUGAUAUUUGUGUAUGAGCAAAAGCGAUGCAGCGAAGGCUAUUAUCUGCCAUGCCUUGAAUAAUUUUCUUGAAUACACUCUUUUGCUGAUCAUCCAAAUCUUUCAUUAUUCCGGAAGCAUCAUAAUAAC